Molecule: small RNA, 2927 nt
Filed under: Pongo abelii (Sumatran orangutan)
Lineage: Eukaryota; Metazoa; Chordata; Mammalia; Primates; Hominidae
Description: retained intron
Source: RNAcentral
UAGCAGACACUCUUGCCCUUGCAUCUGCAGGAACAGAAGUGUGUCCCGGCCAGUGGAGAACUCUCCCCGGAGCUCCAGGAGUGGACACCUUACUCGCCUGGGCAUUCCAGCCGGCACAGCAACCCCCCGCUAUACCCUAGCAGGCCGUCUGUGGGCACUGUUCCCCGGAGUUUGACCCCCAGCACCACCGUGAGCUCCAUCCUGCGGAACCCCAUCUACACUGUGCGCAGCCACAGGGUCGGCCCCUGCAGCUCUCCACCUGCGGCCCGAGAUGCUGGCCCCCAGGGUUUGCAUCCCAGUGUCCAGCACCAGGGACGCCUGAGCCUGGACCUAAGCCACAGGACCUGCAGUGACUACUCUGAGAUGAGAGCCACCCAUGGGUCCAACUCACUGCCCUCCAGCGCCCGCCUCGGUUCUUCAAGUAACUUGCAGUUCAAGGCGGAACGCAUUAAAAUCCCAUCAACACCAAGAUAUCCACGGAAUGUCGUGGGCUCCGACAGAGGUUCAGUGUCACAUUCUGAAUGCAGCACUCCUCCACAGUCACCCCUGAACAUCGACACCCUGUCCUCUUGUAGCCAGUCCCAGACCUCAGCCUCCACAUUGCCCAGAAUCGCUGUCAACCCCGCGUCCCUCGGGGAGCGGAGAAAGGACAGGCCUUAUAUGGAGGAGCCACGCCACGUGAAGGUGCAGAAGGGCUCAGAGCCGCUGGGCAUCUCCAUCGUGAGUGGAGAGAAGGGUGGCAUCUACGUCUCCAAGGUGACCGUGGGGAGCAUUGCUCACCAGGCCGGCCUCGAGUACGGGGAUCAGUUACUGGAGUUCAACGGCAUAAACCUGCGGAGCGCCACGGAGCAGCAGGCACGGCUCAUCAUCGGGCAGCAGUGUGAUACCAUCACCAUCCUGGCCCAGUACAACCCCCACGUGCACCAGCUCAGCAGCCACUCCCGGUCCAGCUCACACCUGGACCCUGCCAGUACGCACUCCACUCUCCAGAGCAGUGGCACCACCACCCCGGAGCAUCCCUCUGUCAUCGACCCACUGAUGGAGCAGGACGAGGGGCCUAGCACCCCCCCAGCCAAGCAGAGCAGCUCCAGGAUUGCGGGAGAUGCCAACAAGAAGACCCUGGAGCCACGGAUUGUCUUCAUCAAAAAGUCCCAGCUGGAGCUUGGGGUGCACUUGUGUGGUGGGAACCUGCAUGGGGUGUUUGUGGCUGAAGUGGAGGAUGACAGUCCUGCCAAGGGUCCUGACGGCCUCGUGCCGGGGGACCUCAUCCUGGAGUAUGGCAGCCUGGACGUGCGGAACAAGACAGUGGAGGAAGUCUACGUGGAGAUGCUGAAGCCCAGGGAUGGCGUCCGCCUGAAGGUGCAGUACCGCCCCGAGGAGUUCACGAAGGCCAAGGGCCUGCCUGGUGACAGCUUCUACAUCAGGGCCUUAUACGACCGGCUGGCAGAUGUGGAGCAUGAGUUGAGCUUUAAGAAGGAUGACAUUCUCUACGUGGAUGACACCUUGCCCCAGGGCACGUUCGGGUCCUGGAUGGCUUGGCAGCUGGACGAGAAUGCCCAGAAGAUCCAGCGCGGGCAGAUUCCCAGCAAAUAUGUGAUGGACCAAGAAUUCUCCAGGAGGCUCAGCAUGUCUGAAGUCAAAGAUGACAAUAGCGCCACAAAGACGCUGUCAGCGGCUGCACGCCGGUCCUUUUUUCGGAGGAAACACAAGCACAAACGCAGCGGGUCCAAGGACGGGAAAGACCUGCUCGCCUUGGAUGCCUUUUCCAAUGACUCCAUUCCACUCUUUGAAGAUUCGGUGAGCCUGGCCUAUCAGCGGGUCCAGAAGGUGGACUGCACUGCUCUGAGGCCUGUCCUGAUUCUGGGGCCUUUGCUGGACGUGGUGAAGGAGAUACUGGUGAAUGAGGCUCCUGGCAAGUUCUGCAGAUGUCCCCUUGAGGUGAUGAAGGCCUCCCAGCAGGCCAUUGAGCGGGGUGUCAAAGAUUGCCUGUUUGUCGACUAUAAGCGGAGAAGCGGCCAUUUCGAUGUGACCACUGUGGCGUCAAUAAAGGAGAUCACAGAAAAGAACCGACACUGCCUCCUGGACAUUGCUCCACACGCUAUUGAGCGGCUCCACCACAUGCACAUCUACCCCAUUGUCAUCUUCAUCCACUACAAGAGCGCCAAGCACAUCAAGGAGCAGAGAGACCCCAUCUACCUGAGGGACAAGGUGACUCAGAGGCAUUCCAAAGAGCAGUUUGAGGCGGCACAGAAGGUUGAGCAGGAGUAUAGCAGGUACUUCACAGGGGUCAUCCAGGGAGGAGCCCUGUCAAGCAUUUGCACUCAGAUCUUGGCAAUGGUCAAUCAAGAACAAAAUAAAGUCCUGUGGAUUCCAGCCUGCCCGCUCUAGGAGAAUGCUGUGCUGUGGAUGACUGCAGCUGGACGCCUGAGGGGACGCCGGGCUCAGCUCUUUUCUAGCAACUGAAAUUAGAAGUCUGUCCGUCUAUGAACAUGCAGGGGAAGGAUCCGGAACCAGGACCCAGAAGCACCUCCUUUGUAGACAGAGGGCCACGGCUGCAUGCGAUCCAGGCCCAGGCCCACACACUCUGCCCGUGUCACACGUGUGCUUUAACACAAAACAGAUAACACUAAAGACGGGUUCAGCACCCACCUUUCUUUAGCCAGCUGAUCAGAGAUGCUGCAAAGAGUACCUUUCGGAUCACUCGUUUACAAGCCUUUUCUAAGUAUUUGGUGGUUUAUGUUUACUUGAACGGCUCCAUGUUGCCGGUGCCCAGCCUCUGCCCCCUCUGUCAACCCCCUGUCGCUUUGGUAUUGGUUUCAUUCCCGUCUUCAGCAAAACGACCUUGGAACCUCAAUGGGGGCUGCUUUGCUUUGGGAGGUUCUUGUUGGUGGGACCAGAGCUUUGACAAACCUCCUGCUCCUUGGUGG